AUGUACCAUAAGAAAACCCUCAGCCUUCAGGUGAGCAAUCAACCACAGUUCAACGUUUGGAUGCUAAGGGUAGUGUUUGGUCGGUGGUCUAAAACCAACCCUACCGAUUUUUUGGUAAUUGUUCGGAUGGGUGCCAAAUUUUUCGCAUGCCCAAAACCCCGGUUCAUUUUUCUUGCCAGCAUUUGCCAAAUUCUAGCUACCCAAAUAUUUGGUAGGCUAGGCUUGGCUCAAACCAAAGAUGUCCCAACAAAUUCCGGAAGUGCUUCUCAAAUGAAGGUCGACCAGAAUAAUAACAAAUCUUGCAGGAACACCCUGGUGUUAGCUUCAGCUCUAUAUGAAAGCUCUAUAUAUUCUAUCUGA
Molecule: ribosomal RNA, 360 nt
Filed under: Triticum aestivum (bread wheat)
Lineage: Eukaryota; Viridiplantae; Streptophyta; Magnoliopsida; Poales; Poaceae
Description: partial small subunit ribosomal RNA
Source: RNAcentral